Molecule: ribosomal RNA, 497 nt
Filed under: uncultured bacterium
Lineage: Bacteria
Description: partial 16S ribosomal RNA
Rfam family: Bacterial small subunit ribosomal RNA
Source: RNAcentral
GAUGAACGCUGGCGGCGUGCCUAAUACAUGCAAGUCGAGCGAACAGACGCGGAGCUUGCUCCUCUCACGUUAGCGGCGGACGGGUGAGUAACACGUGUAUCACCUCCCUAUCAUACUGGUAUAACCUCGGAACUCCGGAUAUAAUACCGUAUAAUCUCUUGCACCACAGGGGUCGAUGGUGAAAGUCGGCUUUUCUGUCUCUUAUAGCUGGUUCCGGGCCGCUUUGUCUAGUUGGGAAGGUAACGGCUUACCAAGGCAACCAUGCGUGGCCGACCUGAGAGGGUGAUCGGCCACACUGGAACUGAGACACGGUCCAGAGUACUACGGGAGGCAGCAGUGGGGAACCUUCGGCAAUGGGCGAAAGUUUGACGGAGCAACGCCGCGUGAGUGAUGAAGGUCUUCGGAGCGGAAAACUCGGUUAUUAGGGAAGAACAAAUGUGUAAGGAACUAUGCACGUAGUGACGGUACCUAAUCAGAAAGCCACGGCUAACUACGUG